UACAGAGGGUGCGAGCGUUAAUCGGAAUUACUGGGCGUAAAGCGCGCGUAGGCGGCUUUUCAAGUCGAUUGUGAAAUCCCCGGGCUUAACCUGGGAACUGCAGUCGAGACUGUCUAGCUAGAGUAUGGGAGAGGGAAGUGGAAUUUCAGGUGUAGCGGUGAAAUGCGUAGAUAUCUGAAGGAACAUCAGUGGCGAAAGCGACUUCCUGGACCAAUACUGACGCUCAUGUGCGAAAGCGUGGGGGGCAAACAGG
RNAcentral lists this ribosomal RNA (253 nucleotides) under uncultured bacterium. Its description in RNAcentral is "partial 16S ribosomal RNA". It matches the Rfam family "Bacterial small subunit ribosomal RNA", at positions 524 to 776 of the family's 1533-position model. The record is from RNAcentral.